GUACACAAAAAUGCACAUACUGUGAGCUCGAUGAGUAGGGCGGGACACGUGGUAUCCUGUCUGAAUAUGGGGGGACCAUCCUCCAAGGCUAAAUACUCCUGACUGACCGAUAGUGAACCAGUACCGUGAGGGAAAGGCGAAAAGAACCCCGGCGAGGGGAGUGAAAAAGAACCUGAAACCGUGUACGUACAAGCAGUGGGAGCCUCUUAAUGGGGUGACUGCGUACCUUUUGUAUAAUGGGUCAGCGACUUAUAUUCUGUAGCAAGGUUAACCGAAUAGGGGAGCCGAAGGGAAACCGAGUCUUAACUGGGCGUUAAGUUGCAGGGUAUAGACCCGAAACCCGGUGAUCUAGCCAUGGGCAGGUUGAAGGUUGGGUAACACUAACUGGAGGACCGAACCGACUAAUGUUGAAAAAUUAGCGGAUGACUUGUGGCUGGGGGUGAAAGGCCAAUCAAACCGGGAGAUAGCUGGUUCUCCCCGAAAGCUAUUUAGGUAGCGCCUCGUGAAUUCAUCUCCGGGGGUAGAGCACUGUUUCGGCAAGGGGGUCAUCCCGACUUACCAACCCGAUGCAAACUGCGAAUACCGGAGAAUGUUAUCACGGGAGACACACGGCGGGUGCUAACGUCCGUCGUGAAGAGGGAAACAACCCAGACCGCCAGCUAAGGUCCCAAAGUC
This 675-nucleotide ribosomal RNA is filed under the name Escherichia coli. Its description in RNAcentral is "partial 23S ribosomal RNA". It matches the Rfam family "Bacterial large subunit ribosomal RNA", at positions 375 to 1054 of the family's 2925-position model. Lineage: Bacteria; Pseudomonadati; Pseudomonadota; Gammaproteobacteria; Enterobacterales; Enterobacteriaceae. The record is from RNAcentral.